This 965-nucleotide long non-coding RNA is filed under the name Helianthus annuus (common sunflower). RNAcentral describes it as "hypothetical non coding rna". Lineage: Eukaryota; Viridiplantae; Streptophyta; Magnoliopsida; Asterales; Asteraceae. The record is from RNAcentral.
GAUCCAUCACUCUUCCUGCUCCCCCUUACACCACUCCCACUCGGUUUCGUCUCCGGUGAGACUCUCAGUGGUAGCAGAGAACAACAGCAGCAACAACGCCGCCACCACGGCGGCGAUGGCGGUGACCAAACGGAGAAACGACACACAGAGAGAGAGAAAGAAAGAGUGAGCUGGUGAUGACGACCGACGGCGACAAACCAGAGUGAGCCGUAAAUCGCAGCAUCUUCACAUUUGUGAGCCGUAAAUCGCAGCAUCUUCACAUUUGCACAUCACUUAUACAUAAAUCGUUUGCUUUUGGUGUGAUGUUUGAAAGCUUCGAACUGUUUCAGUGAAGACGUAUGAUUUUCGGUCGAAUUUCUGAACUUUUCAAUUAAUCUUGGACUGAUUUGGUUUGUCUCGGAUCGAAUUUUAUAUGUUUCGGACUGUUUUGUUUGAAGUUUCUGUGUGAUAGUUUAGAUUUCGAACAUACUUCUGCUUGAUUACGGAUCAUUUCGGACUUGUAGGAUUGAUUUCGGACUGCUUUACGAUUGAGACUGAAUUUGAUCUCAACUUCCUUUGAAUUUGUUUAAGAUAUAUAUUGAAAGUGAUCUGAGCUUAUUGCUGUAGUUUGUAAAUUGAACAAGAAAAUGCAGAUUUAAGUUUGGAUUUGAAUAGAUUCAAUAGUAAUUGCAUAUUAUCGAUUAGGAUUUCAUGAUUCAAAUCUGACUUAUAGACGUAUUUAAAUAUAACUUCGAGAUCAGAUCUGAUUCUGUACAAGAGAACCGGUUAAGAUUUGAGUUGAACUUUGGUAUACAUCGAAAAGAGAACUUAAAAAUUGCAAAUCUAAUUUGAUAUUCAAGUUGAGUUGGUGUAUUUUGAGUCCAAGAUCAAUAUGUGCAUCUCUAGGUUAUUAGCUUUAGGAUAUUGAAGUUGAGAUCUCUGUGAUUUUCCUUUGAAAGUAUGAAAUGAAAAUUUGGAAGAGUUGA